This is a non-coding RNA of Caenorhabditis brenneri, 47 nucleotides long. The record is from Rfam. NCBI's taxonomy places the organism in Eukaryota, Metazoa, Nematoda, Chromadorea, Rhabditida, Rhabditidae.
CCAACGGCCCUCUUUAGGGCCACAAAACCCAAUAAUCCUAACCAUUU